AACGCUAGCUACAGGCUUAACACAUGCAAGUCGAGGGCAGCAUGAAGUUGCUGCAAACUUGAUGGCGACCGGCGCACGGUGAGUAACGCGUAUCCAACCUUCCCCUUAGUAGGGCAUAGCCCGGCGAAAGUCGGAUUAAUACCCUAUGUUCUUCGUAGAGGACAUCUGAAAUGAAGCAAAGGUUUACCGCUAAGGGAUGGGGAUGCGUCUGAUUAGGUAGUAGGCGGGGUAACGGCCCACCUAGCCUGCGAUCAGUAGGGGUUCUGAGAGGAAGGUCCCCCACAUUGGAACUGAGACACGGUCCAAACUCCUACGGGAGGCAGCAGUGAGGAAUAUUGGUCAAUGGGCGCGAGCCUGAACCAGCCAAGUAGCCGUGCAGGAUGACGGCCCUAUGGGUUGUAAACUGCUUUUAUCAGGGGAUAAAGUGAGGGACGUGUCCCUUUUUGUAGGUACCUGAUGAAUAAGGACCGGCUAAUUCCGUGCCAGCCGCGGC
Molecule: ribosomal RNA, 493 nt
Filed under: uncultured bacterium
Lineage: Bacteria
Description: bacterial SSU rRNA
Rfam family: Bacterial small subunit ribosomal RNA
Source: RNAcentral